Molecule: ribosomal RNA, 497 nt
Filed under: uncultured bacterium
Lineage: Bacteria
Description: partial 16S ribosomal RNA
Rfam family: Bacterial small subunit ribosomal RNA
Source: RNAcentral
GAUGAACGCUGGCGGCGUGCCUAAUACAUGCAAGUCGAGCGAACAGACGAGGAGCUUGCUCCUCUGACGUUAGCGGCGGACGGGUGAGUAACACGUGGAUAACCUACCUAUAAGACUGGGAUAACUUCGGGAAACCGGAGCUAAUACCAGAUAAUAUAUUGAACCGCAUGGUUCAAUAGUGAAAGACGGUUUUGCUGUCACUUAUAGAUGGAUCCGCGCCGCAUUAGCUAGUUGGUAAGGUAACGGCUUACCAAGGCGACGAUGCGUAGCCGACCUGAGAGGGUGAUCGGCCACACUGGAACUGAGACACGGUCCAGACUCCUACGGGUGGCAGCAGUAGGGAAUCUUCCGCAAUGGGCGAAAGCCUGACGGAGCAACGCCGCGUGAGUGAUGAAGGUCUUCGGAUCGUAAAACUCUGUUAUUAGGGAAGAACAAAUGUGUAAGUAACUAUGCACGUCUUGACGGUACCUAAUCAGAAAGCCACGGCUAACUACGUG